ACGAACGCUGGCGGCGUGCUUAACACAUGCAAGUCGAACGGAAAGGCCCUGCUUUUGUGGGGUGCUCGAGUGGCGAACGGGUGAGUAACACGUGAGUAACCUGCCCUUGACUUUGGGAUAACUUCAGGAAACUGGGGCUAAUACCGGAUAGUAGCUCCUGCUGCAUGGUGGGGGUUGGAAAUUUUCGGCGGUUGGGGAUGGACUCGCGGCUUAUCAGCUUGUUGGUGGGGUAGUGGCUUACCAAGGCUUUGACGGGUAGCCGGCCUGAGAGGGUGACCGGCCACAUUGGGACUGAGAUACGGCCCAGACUCCUACGGGAGGCAGCAGUGGGGAAUAUUGCACAAUGGGCGGAAGCCUGAUGCAGCAACGCCGCGUGCGGGAUGACGGCCUUCGGGUUGUAAACCGCUUUCGCCUGUGACGAAGCGUGAGUGACGGUAAUGGGUAAAGAAGCACCGGCUAACUACGUG
Molecule: ribosomal RNA, 467 nt
Filed under: uncultured bacterium
Lineage: Bacteria
Description: partial 16S ribosomal RNA
Rfam family: Bacterial small subunit ribosomal RNA
Source: RNAcentral